GACGAACGCUGGCGGCGUGCCUAAUACAUGCAAGUCGAACGCUGAAGGAGGAGCUUGCUCUUCUGGAUGAGUUGCGAACGGGUGAGUAACGCGUAGGUAACCUGCCUGGUAGCGGGGGAUAACUAUUGGAAACGAUAGCUAAUACCGCAUAACAGUAGAUGUUGCAUGACAUUUGCUUAAAAGGUGCACUUGCUCCACUACCAGAUGGACCUGCGUUGUAUUAGCUAGUUGGUGGGGUAACGGCUCACCAAGGCGACGAUACAUAGCCGACCUGAGAGGGUGAGCGGCCACACUGGGACUGAGACACGGCCCAGACUCCUACGGGAGGCAGCAGGAGGGAAUCUUCGGCAAUGGACGGAAGUCUGACCGAGCAACGCCGCGUGAGUGAAGAAGGUUUUCGGAUCGUGAAGAUCUGUUGUAAGAGAAGAACGAGUGGGAGAGUGGAAAGUUCACACUGUGACGGUAGCUUACCAGAAAGGGACGGCUAACUACGUG
RNAcentral lists this ribosomal RNA (495 nucleotides) under uncultured bacterium. RNAcentral's name for it is "partial 16S ribosomal RNA". It matches the Rfam family "Bacterial small subunit ribosomal RNA", at positions 28 to 507 of the family's 1533-position model. The record is from RNAcentral.